CAUAUACUCCCUCCGUCCCAAAACUCUUGUCUUAGAUUCUUCUAAAUACGGAUGUAUCUAAUACUAAAACAUGACUUGAUACAUUCGUAUUUAGACAAAUUUAAAACAAGAAUUUUGAGACAGAGGGAGUACCAU
This is a non-coding RNA of Triticum aestivum (bread wheat), 135 nucleotides long. Lineage: Eukaryota; Viridiplantae; Streptophyta; Magnoliopsida; Poales; Poaceae. The record is from Rfam.